GAUGAACGCUGGCGGCGUGCUUAACACAUGCAAGUCGAACGAAGCAUUUAGGACAGAUUACUUCGGUUUGAAGUUCUUUAUGACUGAGUAGCGGACGGGUGAGUAACGCGUGGGUAACCUGCCUUGUACUGGGGGAUAGCAGCUGGAAACGGCUGGUAAUACCGCAUAAGCGCACAAUGUUGCAUGACAUGGUGUGAAAAACUCCGGUGGUAUAAGAUGGACCCGCGUCUGAUUAGCUAGUUGGUGAGAUAACAGCCCACCAAGGCGACGAUCAGUAGCCGACCUGAGAGGGUGACCGGCCACAUUGGGACUGAGACACGGCCCAGACUCCUACGGGAGGCAGCAGUGGGGAAUAUUGCACAAUGGAGGAAACGCUGAUGCAGCGACGCCGCGUGAGUGAAGAAGUAAUUCGUUAUGUAAAGCUCUAUCAGCAGGGAAGAUAGUGACGGUACCUGACUAAGAAGCUCCGGCUAAAUACGUG
Molecule: ribosomal RNA, 481 nt
Filed under: uncultured bacterium
Lineage: Bacteria
Description: partial 16S ribosomal RNA
Rfam family: Bacterial small subunit ribosomal RNA
Source: RNAcentral